This 178-nucleotide non-coding RNA is filed under the name Neobacillus vireti. RNAcentral describes it as "Bacillus vireti Lysine sequence". It matches the Rfam family "Lysine riboswitch aptamer". Rfam says of the family: Riboswitches are metabolite binding domains within certain messenger RNAs that serve as precision sensors for their corresponding targets. Allosteric rearrangement of mRNA structure is mediated by ligand binding, and this results in modulation of gene expression. The record is from RNAcentral. Lineage: Bacteria; Bacillati; Bacillota; Bacilli; Caryophanales; Bacillaceae. RNAcentral also lists the same sequence under 1 other name.
AGUGAAGGUAGAGGUGCGAGCUUCAAGAGUAGUGGUUCUGAGAAGGAUGAGCUUCUGAGAAGAAUCAUGAAAGGGAAGGUUCGCCGAAGUAAAGGAGAUCUCAUUUCUUGCUUUGCUGGUCCUGUGUUGAAUAAAUACCGGAUUGUCAAGACGUCUGUCUUGGAGAGCUAUCUUACAU